This 75-nucleotide transfer RNA is filed under the name Sphaerodactylus townsendi. RNAcentral's name for it is "tRNA-Thr". It matches the Rfam family "tRNA". From Rfam's summary of the family: Transfer RNA (tRNA) molecules are approximately 80 nucleotides in length. Their secondary structure includes four short double-helical elements and three loops (D, anti-codon, and T loops). The record is from RNAcentral. Lineage: Eukaryota; Metazoa; Chordata; Lepidosauria; Squamata; Sphaerodactylidae.
GGAGGGACUGUGGCCCAGUGGAAGAACAUCUGCUUGGUAUGCAGAAGGUCCCCUGUUCAAUUCUUGGCAUCUCCA